RNAcentral lists this ribosomal RNA (460 nucleotides) under uncultured bacterium. Its description in RNAcentral is "partial 16S ribosomal RNA". It matches the Rfam family "Bacterial small subunit ribosomal RNA", at positions 338 to 795 of the family's 1533-position model. The record is from RNAcentral.
CCUACGAGUGGCAGCAGUGAGGAAUAUUGGUCAAUGGGCGCUAGCCUGAACCAGCCAAGUAGCGUGAAGGAUGACUGCCCUAUGGGUUGUAAGCUUCUUUUAUAGGGGAAUAAAGUGCAGUAUGUAUACUUCUUUGCAUGUACCUUAUGAAUAAGGAUCGGCUAACGCCGUGCCAGCAGACGCGGUAAUACGGAGGAUCCGAGCGUUAUCCGGAUUUAUUGGGUUUAAAGGGAGCGUAGGCGGGUUGUUAAGUCAGUUGUGAAAGUUUGCGGCUCAACCGUAAAAUUGCAGUUGAUACUGGGAUCCUGGAGUACAGUAGAGGUGGGCGGAAUUCGUGGUGUAGCGGUGAAAUGCUUAGAUAUCACGAAGAACUCCGAUUGCGAAGGCAGCCUGCUGGACUGUAACUGACGCUGAUGCUCGAAAGUGUGGGUAUCAAACAGGAUUAGAUACCCCUGUAGUC